RNAcentral lists this unclassified non-coding RNA (240 nucleotides) under soil metagenome. Its description in RNAcentral is "partial contains 5.8S ribosomal RNA, internal transcribed spacer 2, and large subunit ribosomal RNA". The record is from RNAcentral.
AACUGAUACUACCUGCGGGAACCUGCGGAAGGAUCAUUAUUGAAUAACUUGAUGGGUUGUCGCUGGCCUCUUGAGGCGUGUGCACGCCUGUCUUGACUCUAUUCAUCCACCUGUGCACCUUUUGUAGUUCUCUGUUUUCUGAAGGUCAAGAAAAAGCAAAGCUGUUUGUUCAGUUGAAACACACUGGAUUUGGGGACUGCCUUAGUUGGCUUUCUUCUACCUGGCCAUGUAAAAUAUUGU